CCUACGGGAGGCAGCAGUGAGGAAUAUUGGUCAAUGGGCGCAAGCCUGAACCAGCCAAGUCGCGUGAGGGAAGACGGCCCUACGGGUUGUAAACCUCUUUUGCCGGGGAGCAAGCCUGAGCACGUGUGCACAGGCGGAGAGUACCCGGAGAAAAAGCAUCGGCUAACUCCGUGCCAGCAGCCGCGGUAAUACGGGGGAUGCGAUCGUUAUACGGAUGUAGUGGGGUUAAAGAGUGCGCAGGCGGGCUUUUAAGCCGGCGGUAAAAAUUCAGGGCUCAACCCUGUCGUACCGUGGAAACUGGCAGUCUUGAGUGGGCGAGAAGUAUGCGGAAGGCGUGGGGGAGCGGUGAAAUGCAUAGAUAUCACGCAGAACGCCGAUUGCGAAGGCAGCAUACCGGCGCCCAACUGACGCUGAGGCACGAAAGCGUGGGGAUCGAACAGGAUUAGAUACCCCAGUAGUC
RNAcentral lists this ribosomal RNA (460 nucleotides) under uncultured bacterium. Its description in RNAcentral is "partial 16S ribosomal RNA". It matches the Rfam family "Bacterial small subunit ribosomal RNA", at positions 338 to 795 of the family's 1533-position model. The record is from RNAcentral.